UGAGGUUUCACAUCCUUCAAAGUGAAGUGAUGGAUUUAAUAAGGGAUUUUCCCCUUACGGUAAUUUAAAAAAAAUUACACUUUUACGGUUUUUCUUAUUUUGUUCCAUUUUUAUAUUUUGAUUUUUUUACUUUUACAUUAAAAUAGAACUUUUAUUUUCAUUUUUACUCUCUAAACCCUUUUUCUUUUGUUUCUGUGUUUCUCACGCUCAAUUCUCUCUGGUUUCAAACACUCCAGACGUUCUCUUAUCUCAUUUUCACAUUUGUUGGGCAAGCUUGCAACCACACAGAGCACACGACCCCCCUCUCUAUUAUUUUCUCUUUGGCAACCACCACCAUGACCUCUCCAAUGACUUGUCAAACUAGUUCCUCGGCAAGGUUGCAACCACAUAGAUUCUAACCCUCUGUUUCUUCUUUUCUUUUCGGCAACUACCACCACGAUCUUUCGACUCUUGAGAAUCUCGUGUUCCAAGCAGUGCAUCUUCUCAUGGCUUUGGUUUCCAUGAGUUACUCUCCAAGCUCUCUUUCGCUUCUAUUUUUGUGAGUUGUUUUCAUGCCCAUGGCUUUACGUUACUUUCCAAGAAAUCUUACAGUCCUUAUAACUUUAUGGUUCUAGUAUGCAAAUUUGUUUGCUAUUGUGGGCCGCCAAAUGCUUGUUGAAUUGUCUCAGUUGUAGGGUUGUGUGUUUUGAGUUCUUUUGGGCACAAUUGGCUUUUGUAUAGUUUUUUUGUAUGAUCCUCAACCAAAGCCUUAGCUUGUUGAUUUGAGUCCUCAAUCUCAGCAACUCGUCUCCCUGAUGGUCUCUGUCUCACCUCUAGAUAUCUUAUUGGUACUCUAUUUUUCUACACAACUGAUUUUAUUGGAGGCAUAAUUAAGCUAUGAUCCUCACUGUCGUGAAACUUUUCAGGUUUAGUUUUGGGGAUUUAUUUGAACAUGGGUUCAGCUAUCUGUCUCACCACUUUCAAAAGUUCAUUAGUCUCUUCUCAUUGCUUGUACAUUGGUCAUUCCUCCUUUCAACAAGCUCAAAGAAAAUCUGUUUUCUAUUAUUGAUUUUAUUUAGAGUUAAAAAGGCUUGGUCAAUCUCAUACUAAGAUUGUGGAAGCAGCUCAUAGUCUCAUAACUGCUAGAUACUUCUAUAUAAUUAGUUGAUUAUAUGUAUUGCUUUACUAUAAAUGGAUUGGUAAUUAAUGAACUCCUGUAUAAGAUACUGGUGUUUGAGAUAAAAGAAGAAGCUUCUCAAAGUGGUUAACGGAGCAAUAAUGAUUAUGAUUUUGUGUGUUUCUAUUUUUUUGGUUCUUGUAGAAAAAAUGAAACAGUACAAAGCUUCCUUUUUAACUUUGUCAAGUUGAUGGCUACAAGUUGAAAGAUUUAGUUUUAGCCUUCAUCUAAAAAGAGAUUCAAUUUUUUUUCUAA
This is a long non-coding RNA of Humulus lupulus (European hop), 1411 nucleotides long. RefSeq lists it as uncharacterized. NCBI's taxonomy places the organism in Eukaryota, Viridiplantae, Streptophyta, Magnoliopsida, Rosales, Cannabaceae. The transcript has 2 exons. The record is from RefSeq and is a predicted model, not a curated record.